GGAGGGUUGGCUGAGUGGUUGAAAGCGGCGGUCUUGAAAACCGUUAGCGGGCUCCGCCCGCUCGGGGGUUCGAAUCCCUCACCCUCCGCCA
This 91-nucleotide transfer RNA is filed under the name Trueperaceae bacterium. Its description in RNAcentral is "tRNA-Ser". It matches the Rfam family "tRNA". Rfam says of the family: Transfer RNA (tRNA) molecules are approximately 80 nucleotides in length. Their secondary structure includes four short double-helical elements and three loops (D, anti-codon, and T loops). RNAcentral also lists the same sequence under 1 other name. Lineage: Bacteria; Thermotogati; Deinococcota; Deinococci; Trueperales; Trueperaceae. The record is from RNAcentral.